This is a small nucleolar RNA of Astyanax mexicanus (Mexican tetra), 70 nucleotides long. Its record names the gene SNORD58. It matches the Rfam family "Small nucleolar RNA SNORD58". Rfam says of the family: snoRNA U58 is found in introns 1, 3 and 6 of the ribosomal protein RPL17 gene in humans. The record is from Ensembl. Lineage: Eukaryota; Metazoa; Chordata; Actinopteri; Characiformes; Acestrorhamphidae.
UUGCAAUGACGACAACUUAGGACACCUUUGAAACUACUGUGAAAACACUAUGCAAAACGAUCUGAGCAAC